This 867-nucleotide ribosomal RNA is filed under the name Micrococcus endophyticus. RNAcentral describes it as "bacterial SSU rRNA". It matches the Rfam family "Bacterial small subunit ribosomal RNA", at positions 384 to 1262 of the family's 1533-position model. The record is from RNAcentral. Lineage: Bacteria; Bacillati; Actinomycetota; Actinomycetes; Micrococcales; Micrococcaceae.
UGAUGCAGCGACGCCGCGUGAGGGAUGACGGCCUUCGGGUUGUAAACCUCUUUCAGUAGGGAAGAAGCGAAAGUGACGGUACCUGCAGAAGAAGCACCGGCUAACUACGUGCCAGCAGCCGCGGUAAUACGUAGGGUGCGAGCGUUAUCCGGAAUUAUUGGGCGUAAAGAGCUCGUAGGCGGUUUGUCGCGUCUGUCGUGAAAGUCCGGGGCUUAACCCCGGAUCUGCGGUGGGUACGGGCAGACUAGAGUGCAGUAGGGGAGACUGGAAUUCCUGGUGUAGCGGUGGAAUGCGCAGAUAUCAGGAGGAACACCGAUGGCGAAGGCAGGUCUCUGGGCUGUAACUGACGCUGAGGAGCGAAAGCAUGGGGAGCGAACAGGAUUAGAUACCCUGGUAGUCCAUGCCGUAAACGUUGGGCACUAGGUGUGGGGACCAUUCCACGGUUUCCGCGCCGCAGCUAACGCAUUAAGUGCCCCGCCUGGGGAGUACGGCCGCAAGGCUAAAACUCAAAGGAAUUGACGGGGGCCCGCACAAGCGGCGGAGCAUGCGGAUUAAUUCGAUGCAACGCGAAGAACCUUACCAAGGCUUGACAUGUUCUCGAUCGCCGUAGAGAUACGGUUUCCCCUUUGGGGCGGGAUCACAGGUGGUGCAUGGUUGUCGUCAGCUCGUGUCGUGAGAUGUUGGGUUAAGUCCCGCAACGAGCGCAACCCUCGUUCCAUGUUGCCAGCACGUAAUGGUGGGGACUCAUGGGAGACUGCCGGGGUCAACUCGGAGGAAGGUGGGGACGACGUCAAAUCAUCAUGCCCCUUAUGUCUUGGCUUCACGCAUGCUACAAUGGCCGGUACAAUGGGUUGCGAUACUGUGAGG